This is a small nuclear RNA of Nannospalax galili (Upper Galilee mountains blind mole rat), 163 nucleotides long. Its record names the gene U1. It matches the Rfam family "U1 spliceosomal RNA". From Rfam's summary of the family: U1 is a small nuclear RNA (snRNA) component of the spliceosome (involved in pre-mRNA splicing). Lineage: Eukaryota; Metazoa; Chordata; Mammalia; Rodentia; Spalacidae. The record is from Ensembl.
AUACUUGCCUGGAGGUAGAAAUACCAUGAUGAAGGUGGUAGUUUUUCCAAGAGCAAGGCUCAUCUGUUGUACUUGGUAUGUGUUGUCCCUGUGAUUUCCCAAAUGUGAGAAACUCCAUUGAAAAAUUUGUGGUAAUGAGGGACUGUGCUCAAAUUCUCCCCUG